UGUGUGCAUAUGUCUAUGUAAGUAUAUGCGGGGGUGGGGGGGUGGGCAAGGAAUGCCUUGGAGGACUGGUGGAGUCAUAGGCAGUUGUGACUCUUGUGGGAGCUGGGACCUGAACUGGGGUUCUCUUGAAGGCAGAACAAGCUCUCUGUUCAGCAUUGAGCCAUCUCUCCAUCCCCUGGGAAAGAUAUCUUGAAUGGUUUCCUGAGGUGUAGAGAGCUAGCAGCCCCUUGUAAGUCUGGUCACGCUGCACAGAUCUGGGUUGUUCCCCUGGUCCCGUGAACCCAUUAGCGUCCGUCCGAGCCAUUAGGGACUCGCCACCAACACACGUGGACAGCAGCAGCAGCAGCAGUGGCCGCUGGAGCAAAGACUACGAUGUCUGCGUGUGCCACAGUGAGGAGGACUUGGAGGCGGCCCAGGAGCUGGUCUCCUACUUGGAGGGUAGCCAGGCCAGUCUACGCUGCUUCCUGCAGCUUCGGGAUGCAGCCCCGGGUGGCGCCAUUGUUUCGGAGCUAUGCCAGGCACUGAGUCGUAGUCACUGCCGUGUGCUGCUCAUCACUCCAGGCUUCCUUCGGGACCCCUGGUGCAAGUACCAGAUGCUGCAGGCCCUGACGGAGGCCCCGGCGUCGGAGGGUUGCACCAUACCCCUGCUGUCCGGCCUGUCCAGAGCCGCCUAUCCGCCGGAACUCCGAUUCAUGUACUAUGUGGAUGGCAGAGGCAAGGACGGAGGCUUUUACCAAGUCAAGGAGGCUGUUAUACACGUUCUCCGGCUUUAGAGUACAAAAAGUGCUCAGGGAGUCUGCGCGGGACAAAAUU
This 813-nucleotide non-coding RNA is filed under the name Mus musculus (house mouse). The record is from RNAcentral. Lineage: Eukaryota; Metazoa; Chordata; Mammalia; Rodentia; Muridae.